Molecule: ribosomal RNA, 253 nt
Filed under: uncultured bacterium
Lineage: Bacteria
Description: partial 16S ribosomal RNA
Rfam family: Bacterial small subunit ribosomal RNA
Source: RNAcentral
UACGUAGGGGGCAAGCGUUGUUCGGAAUUACUGGGCGUAAAGGGCGCGUAGGCGGCACGGCAAGUCGGGAGUGAAAGCCCGGGGCUCAACCCCGGAGGGUCUUCCGAAACUGCCGAGCUAGAGUGCGGAAGAGGCAACCGGAAUUCCCAGUGUAGCGGUGAAAUGCGUAGAUAUUGGGAAGAACACCAGAGGCGAAGGCGGGUUGCUGGGCCGACACUGACGCUGAGGCGCGAAAGCAUGGGGAGCGAACAGG